Long non-coding RNA from Nerophis ophidion (straightnose pipefish), 982 nucleotides. RefSeq lists it as uncharacterized. The record is from RefSeq and is a predicted model, not a curated record. Lineage: Eukaryota; Metazoa; Chordata; Actinopteri; Syngnathiformes; Syngnathidae. The transcript is spliced from 3 exons.
GAGGCAUAAAAACAAUGAGGCUGUGGAGAGGCGUAGCCGACAGCGGGGUAGCAGUCCCACUCAAGAUGGCGGCCAGGAGGCGGAGUGUGCGGCGGAGCGGAGAGGCGGGGCGCGCUUGAAGCGACGCUGCAGCAAUCCGAGUCAGGAGUCCAUUGGAGCUGCACAAGAAAUGAACAUGCUGUAAUUUGCUGCUCUCUAGUGGCCAGUAUUGUCAUCGCAGGAUUACGGCCUACUACAACUUCCUGCACACGCCAUGUGUUCAAACAACUAUAACACAUUUUUAUGGAGCCAUAAAUGAGGAGUCCAAACAGGGAAGCGGUCGCCAUGGAGACGGUCGGUGCCUAUGACGUGAGGAAAAAAUGGCGGCCAGGUGGAUUCAUCGAUUGUUCGACCGUUUAGGUUACACAUAACAACGUCACGCGGUCAUAAAAUUUAGGAACCGUAAUGUCAGCACAGUCUUGGAGCGGUCCGGCGCGUGUUGCCAUGGUAACGCGUGAGGCACUCUCGACACUUCUCUUUUUACGACAAUCCAAACCAGAGCGAUGUCGAACCAAUUAGCGACAUGCGAGAAGAAAGACACGUUUUUUAUUUUAUUUUUCAUUUUAUUUUUUUUACCUGAGCCCGCCUGCAGUCCAGACCUGUCCCCCGAUGAUAAAAAACGUGUGAUUGUCACCAAAAAGAAGGAGGAAGGUGGCGAAGUGAAAUCUCAGACUUAGGAACCCAUAAUAAUUAUGGUGAAGGUUUUCUUCCCAUGAUGCACCGGGGCCGGUAGGGCUGGGAGUGACCCAUCACCGUGACCCCAAACAGGACCGGAAAAACUGAUAAAACGCCUGUUUGUGAUGAGUCAGCUGAAAUUGUAGGUUUUGGAUGAUGUUAUCGACUAAUUAUACAUUAUUUGGGAGGUUUUACGCUGCACCAUGAAUUGAUUAACGUGGACCCCGACUUAAACAAGUUGAAAAACGUAUUCGGGUGUUACCAUUUA